RNAcentral lists this long non-coding RNA (218 nucleotides) under Ananas comosus (pineapple). RNAcentral's name for it is "long non-coding RNA (ACOM_LNC015541)". Lineage: Eukaryota; Viridiplantae; Streptophyta; Magnoliopsida; Poales; Bromeliaceae. The record is from RNAcentral.
UCAGGAAUACAUCAACACCUUAUGUACUCCCCCACCCUCAGCUGUAAGCACCUCUGCACAACUCAGGUUCCUCGGGCAUUUGCAAUACCCAAUUCCGCGGCAACUCCAACCACGGACUGCAAACUGAUUCUUCAUAAUCAUUGCCCCAUCGUCUGUCACAUGACUAAGGCCUUAACCAUUUCUCCAUCCUGAGAAUGACUUGGAAAUCCUUACAGGAU